This 698-nucleotide ribosomal RNA is filed under the name Anopheles multicolor. RNAcentral's name for it is "eukaryotic LSU rRNA". The record is from RNAcentral. Lineage: Eukaryota; Metazoa; Arthropoda; Insecta; Diptera; Culicidae.
CGCGUCAGAAUGUGAACUGCAGGACACAUGAACACCGAUAAGUUGAACGCAUAUGGCGCAUCGGACGUUUUAACGCGACCGAUGCACACAUCCUUGAGUGCCUACUCGGUACAAAUCAUAAAUAUAGCAUACCAUUAGACUUCAGUCGGACGUCGCCAAAGGGACGCUGGUGGAGCCAACGUUCGGCGUCCGCUGUGCAGCAUGGCGUACUGGGGGGUGGGUCCCUGCCUAGCGUAGGGGCACCCUAGGGCGCUGAAAAUGGAUGCCGCAUGUGUUCUCGGUGUCAACGUUAUGGUAAGGGUGUGUGUCAAGUCACGCACGGUUCGACAACAAGCGUACUGGGCCGUCUUUGAUGCAAACGGAUGCCUACCACCAUAGGCAGAGCCGUCGUACAUCAACUCGCAAACCCAGAGAUAGUAAGCUGUUCGACACACGCGUGUCAGUCUAUUUUAAUCGGAUGCCAUCGGUGCACCAUUUCGGUGCGUGUAUUGCGGAGCCGACAAUAGACCGAACCGUCGAAGAGCAAGUGCUUGCGUCGUGUAACGCGUCCCUGAGUCUUGCACACCGCCCGCUUGAACCAGCACGUUGAGCACCAACAGAAAUAUAAGAGAGACACACCUUCUAUAGUGCGGCUAAUGCGAAUUUAUAAUUUUCCGUAGGCCUCAAGUGAUGUGCGACUACCCCCUAAAUUUAAGCAU